Molecule: ribosomal RNA, 253 nt
Filed under: uncultured bacterium
Lineage: Bacteria
Description: partial 16S ribosomal RNA
Rfam family: Bacterial small subunit ribosomal RNA
Source: RNAcentral
UACGUAGGGUGCGAGCGUUAAUCGGAAUUACUGGGCGUAAAGCGUGCGCAGGCGGCGCGUUAAGACAGGUGUGAAAGCCCCGAGCUUAACUUGGGAAUUGCGCUUGUGACUGGCGUGCUGGAGUGUGGCAGAGGGAGGUGGAAUUCCACGUGUAGCAGUGAAACGCGUAGAGAUGUGGAGGAACACCGAUGGCGAAGGCAGCCUCCUGGGCCAGCACUGACGCUCAUGCACGAAAGCGUGGGGAGCAAACAGG